Molecule: unclassified non-coding RNA, 342 nt
Filed under: soil metagenome
Description: partial contains 5.8S ribosomal RNA, internal transcribed spacer 2, and large subunit ribosomal RNA
Rfam family: 5.8S ribosomal RNA (bases 1-120)
Source: RNAcentral
GAUGAAGAACGCAGCGAAAUGCGAUAAGUAGUGUGAAUUGCAGAAUUCAGUGAAUCAUCGAAUCUUUGAACGCACAUUGCGGCCAUAGGUAUUCCUUUGGCCAUGCCUGUUCGAGCGUCAUUUACACCCUCAAGCCUAGCUUGGUGUUGGGCGUCUGUCCCGCCGUUCUCGCGCGCGGACUCGCCUCAAAGUCAUUGGCGGCGGUCGUGCCGGCCCCCUCGCGCAGCACAUUUGCGCUUCUCGGAGGCCCGGCGGAUCCGCGCUCCAGCAAGACCUUUCACGACUUGACCUCGAAUCAGGUAGGAAUACCCGCUGAACUUAAGCAUAUCAAUAAGCGGAGGA